AGUGGAAUAACUGGGUCAAAUGGUGUUUCCAUUCCAAGAUUUCUGAGUAAUUUCCAAACUGCUUUCCAGAGUGGUUGAACCAAUUUGCAGUCCCAUCAGCAAA
This 103-nucleotide microRNA precursor is filed under the name Marmota monax (woodchuck). The record is from RNAcentral. Lineage: Eukaryota; Metazoa; Chordata; Mammalia; Rodentia; Sciuridae.